AAUAUUGGACAAUGGGGGCAACCCUGAUCCAGCCAUGCCGCGUGUGUGAAGAAGGUCUUCGGAUUUUAAAGCACUUUAGGUUGGGGGGAAGGGCUUUAGGUUAAUACCCUGAAGUUUUGCCGUUCCAAACGGAAUAAGAACCGGCUAACUCUUUGCAGGCAGCCGCGGUAAUACAGAGGGUGCAAGCGUUAAUCGGAAUUACUGGGCGUAAAGCGCGCGUAGGUGGUUCAGUAAGAUGGGUGUGAAAUCCCCGGGCUUAACCUGGGAACUGCUUUCAUAACUGCUGAGCUAGAGUACGGUAGAGGGUAGUGGAAUUUCCUGUGUAGCGGUGAAAUGCGUAGAUAUAGGAAGGAACACCAGUGGCGAAGGCGACUACCUGGACUGAUACUGACACUGAGGUGCGAAAGCGUGGGGAGCAAACA
This 422-nucleotide ribosomal RNA is filed under the name uncultured bacterium. Its description in RNAcentral is "partial 16S ribosomal RNA". It matches the Rfam family "Bacterial small subunit ribosomal RNA", at positions 360 to 774 of the family's 1533-position model. The record is from RNAcentral.